This 190-nucleotide microRNA precursor is filed under the name Mus musculus (house mouse). RNAcentral's name for it is "predicted gene, 55814 (ENSMUSG00002076098.1)". Lineage: Eukaryota; Metazoa; Chordata; Mammalia; Rodentia; Muridae. The record is from RNAcentral.
UGUGCCAAAGACACACAUGCAGUUCUGGGUUUUGUUUUGUUUUGUUUUUUAAAUAUGGAAGGAAAGGAGGAAGGAAGGAAGGGAGGGAGGGAGGGAGGGAGGGAGGGAGGGAGGGAGGAAGGAAGGAAAGAAAGAAAGAAAGAAGAAAAGAACACAGCAUAGUCAGAAAUUCUUUGGAUUUUAGGGUGAC